CCCAGAGAGGCGCCCGUCAGAUGCCA
Molecule: non-coding RNA, 26 nt
Filed under: Homo sapiens (human)
Lineage: Eukaryota; Metazoa; Chordata; Mammalia; Primates; Hominidae
Source: RNAcentral